UCCGGUUUGGCACCGGCAGUCUCCCUAGAGUUCCCGGCAUGACCCGCUGGCAACUAAGGAUAGGGGUUGCGCUCGUUGCGCCACUUAAGGCAACACCUCACGGCACGAGCUGACGACAGCCAUGCAGCACCUGUGUCCAGGCUCCCUUUCGGGCACACUCACCUCUCAGCAAGCUUCCUGGCAUGUCAAGGGUAGGUAAGGUUGUUCGCGUUGCAUCGAAUUAAUCCACAUCAUCCACCGCUUGUGCGGGUCCCCGUCAAUUCCUUUGAGUUUUAAUCUUGCGACCGUACUCCCCAGGCGGUCAACUUCACGCGUUAGCUGCGGUACUGAGAACUUGCGCUCCCAACACCUAGUUGACAUAGUUUAGGGCGUGGACUAC
Molecule: unclassified non-coding RNA, 379 nt
Filed under: uncultured Gammaproteobacteria bacterium
Lineage: Bacteria; Pseudomonadati; Pseudomonadota; Gammaproteobacteria
Description: contains 16S-23S intergenic spacer region
Source: RNAcentral